RNAcentral lists this ribosomal RNA (437 nucleotides) under uncultured bacterium. RNAcentral's name for it is "partial 16S ribosomal RNA". It matches the Rfam family "Bacterial small subunit ribosomal RNA", at positions 29 to 507 of the family's 1533-position model. The record is from RNAcentral.
AGCGAACGCUGGCGGCAGGCUUAACACAUGCAAGUCGAGCGGGCAUCCUUGUGGUGUCAGCGGCAGACGGGUGAGGAACGCGUGGGAACGUGCCCUUCGGUUCGGAAUAACUCAGGGAAACUUGAGCUAAUACCGGAUACGUGCGAGAGCAGAAAGGUUUAUCUGCCGAAGGAUCGGCCCGCGUCUGAUUAGCUAGUUGGUGAGGUUAUGGCUCACCAAGGCGACGAUCAGUAGCUGGUCUGAGAGGAUGAGCAGCCACACUGGGACUGAGACACGGCCCAGACUCCUACGGAAGGCAGCAGUGGGGAAUAUUGGACGAGGGGGGCAACCCUGACCCAGCCAUGCCGCGUGAGUCAUCCCGGCCUUAGGGUUGUAAAGCUCUUUUCUUCGGGACGAUAAUGACGGUACCGGAGGAAUAAGCCCCGGCUAACUUCGUG